AUGGCACCAGGGUGGGGGGCAGAGCUGGGGCACCUCCUCUCUGAGGUGACAUCCCCCUGUCACCUCAACAUCCCUUUAAUCUGGGGUGAGGGGAGAAGAGAGGAUCCCCCCCAGCACCAUCCUUGUCCCGCUCCGGUGACCCCCAGGGUACCAUGGCCAGGUGCAUUGUGGGAAACUCCCCAUCCCAAGAGCUGCCCUGAGGGCCUGGCGGGUGGACCGGAGCUGRGGGGACAGCAGGCUGCCCACGGUGCCCCAGAGCCUGCCCUCACACAGGGCAAAGCCCCUCUUCAGGCACCCCCAAAGCAGACCCCGGGCAGGGGGGCCAGAUGCGGGGUGGGGCAAACAGGACAUUGCACUGCCACGGCCAAGCCGCUUACCUCCAUGCGCUCGUGCAGCUCCUGCUCCAGGGUCUCCAGUUGCAUGGACACAYACGCUGGGAGGGCAGAUCCACGGUCAGCCUGCACCCCCCUUCCCUGUCCCAGAGAGCUGGGGGGGGUUACGGAGCCAGUUUUCCCCCAGGGAAAAUUUCUGCUCCCACCCCCACCAGUAGUGCAGAUGCUGCGUGACACACAGGGACGCCGCCAAGGAGGCAGCCACAGCUCUGGGGGAGGCAGGUUGGCACGGGGGUGGGGGUGGGGGGGGCAGAGCAGCAGCACUCCGGCAGCCCACCGCCACGUUUCGGGCUUCGACCCUCUCACCUUCGAGGGUGGUGGCGCAUGGCGCGCCAUCCACCACGCUGCGGGAGCCUGCUCGCACCAGCAGGCAGCUCUGCUCCAGCUCGCCCUCCGGCACGUAGGUGGCCCGGCUCGCCGCCACCCAAAACUCGCCCACGGCCCYGCCGCCCGCCGCCACCACCGCCAGCCUCUCCGUGAACAGGCACGGCUCCAGCUCCUCCGGCCCUGCCCGGCGAGACAGCCAGCACUGCCGGGGCGCCCCGACGGGACAGCCGGGAGCCCCGGAGUCCUGGCACCCUCCAGCUCUGGCGGCGCUCCCUGCCUCGGUUCACCCCACUGUGCUGGGCAAACACGGAGCUGUAUUUACCCGGCUCAAACGCCAACCCAGAGGAGACCUGGCCCCCCUCUGGCCUCCCCCAGGGGGUCCCAAGGACCAGGAGCCCCCCCCGCUGCGGGCACGCACAGCACAGCACCC
Molecule: long non-coding RNA, 1149 nt
Filed under: Apteryx rowi (Okarito brown kiwi)
Lineage: Eukaryota; Metazoa; Chordata; Aves; Apterygiformes; Apterygidae
Description: lncRNA (ENSARWG00000016471.1)
Source: RNAcentral